Molecule: ribosomal RNA, 253 nt
Filed under: uncultured bacterium
Lineage: Bacteria
Description: partial 16S ribosomal RNA
Rfam family: Bacterial small subunit ribosomal RNA
Source: RNAcentral
UACGUAGGGUGCAAGCGUUGUCCGGAAUUAUUGGGCGUAAAGAGCUCGUAGGCGGUCUGUCGCGUCGGCUGUGAAAACCCGGAGCUCAACUCCGGGCCUGCAGUCGAUACGGGCAGACUGGAGUUCGGCAGGGGAGACUGGAAUUCCUGGUGUAGCGGUGAAAUGCGUAGAUAUCUGGAGGAACACCGGUGGCGAAGGCGGCAUCCUGGACCGAUACUGACGCUGAGGAGCGAAAGCCAGGGGAGCAAACGGG